UUAUCAUAAAUUUUCAAGUAUUUUAAAAACACGUAAAGUGCUGUUUUCCGACUUUUGUAAUUCAGAUAACAUUCUGGAAUAGGACACACACACACACACACACACACACACACACACACCCCCAUAUCUCCCUAAAGCGACUGCAUUAAUUAGGAUCUUUAGGGAAUAGUCACACAGAUAACCUCAAGUAAUAUAAGUUUAUUGUAAGAUCAUGUUUCUCAAACUGAGGUGGCCAGAUUUCAAGGGAUUACAUGGCAUUAGCCAAAAAUUACAGGAACUAACUGAAACAAAAAAACAGGGCAUGUCUCUCUAAAUUAUCCAUUUUAAAUGAAUGAAACAUUUUUAAUAAAAAAUAAUACUGAUCUCUUAAGGAGGCAAAUGCACAUGGAAUUUUGAAGAUGAAAACAACGUGAGACUGCAGAGAAAUGUUGAGCUUGUGAUAAGCCUCUUGGGCUAUGUCCCAGACUGCUAGUAGUACUAAAACCUUCCCUUCUUUCAUUUAGUAGAAAAGUCAGAAAAGUGUCGUGUAAGAUUCACAUAGAAAUAAGGACAAUCACAAGAGCUGCACAAGAGUUGAUAUUGGAGACUGGAAUGCUACUCAAAGACCAGAAUUCCCCCAAACAUCCAAGAUGGUCCUGAGCAACUGAAUUAUCAACAUCAACUUAGCAGUAGAGUGCCGUUAGGUAACUCUGGGUCGGACACUUAACAAGCUGUUCAUAAUAUGUCGUGCUGGGCCUAAUGUUCAUCCCUUAGAAGAAAAGGCUGUAUCAGCUGGGACAAGUGAACAGCAGACAGAGUUAGGAAUUAGGAAGCUUGGGCUCUAACCUGCUUCUGUCACCGAAGCUUUGCAGGGCCCACAUAUGAGUCAUGUCCCCGCUUCGCAUCCUGUCUGCUCACUAGGCAUAACAGAGCUGACCUUCUUCCCAGCCCCGCCGUGAGGAUGAAAUCCUGUUGUGGAGCACUUUGAAAUCUUUGGAUGAAAAGCACGACAGAAGUGCCAAGUAUGAUUGUUACCCGUGCCAGCCACACUAGAAGACAGCAUAAAAAUAGGAAGCAAAGAAAAUUCCAUUUUACAAAAGCUUCAGUGAGAAAAUUGGCUGGUCAGAAUGUCAUUCCCUGGUUUUGGUUCACAUACACGUUGUCUUUUAUGAAAUUAAAAGAAAAACAUAAUUGUACACAUUUUUGUCUUUGCCAGGAAGAAGCCCUUUGAUCACCAUCCCUGUGCUGCCAGGUGCGUCACUGAUGCAGAAGGAAGAUCGAUACAUGAGGAGACCCUGUGGAAUGUAGUUGCUCCCCAAUUUCUGUUUUUCAUUGCAAGAAAUCGAAGCCAUAAAGUCUGAGGGAAUGUUACAGGUUGAGGAUUAGGGUGUCUAAACCUUGGCAUCGUCACAAUAUAGGAUCUGAGACACCUUCAGCUGAAACAGAGACUGUGCUUUCAGAACUGGCCCAGCACCAAACCUCUACUCCAAUGCUCUCAGAUCCUCCAUCCUGCCCUUAACAGGAGAACAUGAGAGUUGCAGAUUUAAAAACCUAACAGCGAACCUUUGCAACAACCUUUGUCAUAUUAGGAAUCCCAAAAUAAGGUGAGUCAUGCCCGUUAGUGUGUGCCUCCAUCCUAAAAAUGACUUAGCUGUAGUUUUAAUAGCUUAUAUCCAUCUUGGCAUAAUGCUGAUAGUUGUGAUGAGCUGUAAUCACCUCUCCUUAUAAAUUGGAUAGACUGUGGAAACAGUUCCAAACCACAGAAAAGACAUUUCAAACUCUGAGCUUGCUGCCUGAUAUGACACUCAGAGAUUAAGAAUAGGAGCUUUGGAUGCUGUUGCCAUGUCUUUACUGCCUGUCUUUUAUACUGGAGUUUUAAAAAGUCAAAACCCAACAGGGUGGUUUGGCUGCUGCACCCCACUGAGAAGCUGAGAAAGUAAAAGGUAAGGGGGUGUAGCCAUGGGCUUGUAAGGGGGACGUGAGUGACACAAGUCCACCCACAGCAACUGUUCCAUUAAGUUAUGAAUCAUAUUGUACUCGACUUGUAAUUUCCCCCCAGGAAGGGAAAGCUACUGAGCACUAUUGAAAUGUUUUGUUCAGAAAUUUCUCAGAGGGAGGGUCCUCACAGUGUUUUAUGGAAUAAUUUGCAUUCUAAUCGGCAUAAUUAGAUUAUUGCCAUAGAAUUCCCAUUGUAUGACUCCAGUAGAAAUACUUUCCAUUAAGAAACAAAUACUCUUUUGGGGGGAAAAAUGUCCAUCCACUGUAGUAUCCAGUCACAGGACAAUCUCUAUUUAUUCCUCUUCAUAACCCCAUGAGAAGGGUCAUCCUCACUGGAUUUUCAACUGUUUAACUGAAGAAAUUAGUUGAAAAGUGGAAAUACAACCUGGUGAUAGUUUCUUCAUCUGUCCACACCUAAUAAUGGCUUUGACUGAUUCUUCUAUUUACAUUGACAGAUUAUUUACACCUCUGUGAAUUAUACUGUUCCUAUGGUCUUUCUUUCCUUUAAUUUUUUUUGUGUGUGUGUGUAUGUGUGGUUAGAACUGUCUGUAGUCAGGCUAAAAUUCAGAUCCCAUCUUUAUAAUUCUUAUUUGUGUGAUAUGAAUUUCUCACAAUGGCAGGAUAGUGGAUUAUCAUGCAGCCUUGAAAUAUCACACCAAUUAAGACAGUGGAGAGCCAUAGGGAAAUGUGAAGUGGAAAAGAGUAUGAAAUUAUAUCUGCACCAUACUUUCCAAAUGCUUAAAUUGUGCAUAUAGAAGCAUGGGCUGAAAAGGAAACAUGGAAAAAAGCAACAGAUGGUUGGUUGAAAUGAAGGGAUUAUGAGAGUUCCCUCUCUACCUUUUUAUUAUUUUGUUUUUCAUUAACACUCUUACAACAUUGCUUGUGUAAUAAACAUGAUUGUAAAAUUA
This is a long non-coding RNA of Sapajus apella (tufted capuchin), 2885 nucleotides long. RefSeq lists it as uncharacterized. The transcript is spliced from 2 exons. The record is from RefSeq and is a predicted model, not a curated record. Lineage: Eukaryota; Metazoa; Chordata; Mammalia; Primates; Cebidae.